UACAGCUAUAUCAUGUUGAAAACACCAGUUCCUGUAUGAUCACUGAAGUUAAGCAAUGUUGAGCCUGGUCAGUACCUAGACAGCGACCACUUUGGAAUACCAGGUGCUGUAAG
Molecule: non-coding RNA, 113 nt
Organism: Acanthosepion pharaonis
Lineage: Eukaryota; Metazoa; Mollusca; Cephalopoda; Sepiida; Sepiidae
Source: the annotation of a GenBank genome assembly